CUGUCCAAGGUGCGCACCUGUUUAAAAAUAUACAUUUAUUAUUAAUAAAACAUUUUUUUAGUACACGUGUCCACGUCAGUAUUUUAAUAAUAUUAUAUUUUCAUGCUUUUAGUGAAGAAUUGUUUUACUAUCAGUCAUAUUUUAAAACGGGCAGUUUCGAAAUAACCAAAGAAAACAACGAUUCUAAACCGGAACGUGCGUGAAGGAAUCAACUGUAGUUCUCUUUUAUAGCGGUUUAAAAUGUAUCUAAAAGUAUAUACGGGUGUUUGCAAUAAUUUAAUCUCAGACGUAGAAAUAUAACCAAGAUUCACGACGACCAUUGUAUUGAUAGAGCAGUUGUUUAAAUAAAAGAGCAGCGUCAGUUUUGGAAAUAUCACAUUUUAUAUUUGUGUCAGUUUUUAGUUAAGUAAAUUGGAAAAUUACAAGCGGUGUGUAUUUCAGUAUGCUAACGUGACGUUUUUCAGCAGGUUUCAUUUGAUUUUAUGAAGCAGAAUUAGUUAACACUCAAUUCAACCCCUCGACAGCAGUUCUACUAAAUGUCCACACGAGGGCAGCAUUGGAUAGGAAAUGAAAGCUAAAGCCUCGUCUGUCUCCCUGAAGUUCGCUACCAAUUGUAAAGAGCAGAGGACAGCUCAGCCGGAGGCGUGUGUCUGUGUGAAACGACUUUAUUUCAUGUGAUAAGUUUGUGGAAGAAGGACGCCAUGUGAGGAGGCGUUUGCUCUUGUUUUACACAAACUACGAGGGACAGCGCUCGUUAAACCAGGUCUGUGAGGAUGAGAAGGUCUCCACAGUCUGGAGUCUGGUCUCUGACAGGCUCAACAUACCUGUCAAUCAACAGGGACUCCUCUACAAAGGCAAGGCGCUGGCAGGUAGGCUGAACAGCACAGCACAGCACAGCACAGCUCACCCCUCCUCUCACCCCUCGCCUCACCCCGGGUCAGUGUGGCACAGCCUGCCUGCUCUUCUGAACAAACACUUCAGCCCUGCCGACGCAGUGAGAGUUUGGAGCAGCUACACGAGGAUUACGAGCGGAGGCUGCACUUGUUGAGCCUGGAUGAUAUGGAGCGGCUGGCGACUCACAUGCUUCACCCUGAGGCUGUGGAGUGCAUGGAGCUGUCCUUCCUGGAAUGAGGAAUAAUGCUGCUGCCCUCUCCCCUCCCCCCUCUCCUCUCCACCUCUCCCCUCUCCUCGCCAAGGAGUGGAGGUGAGGAGAGGGAGGAGAGAGAGGA
Long non-coding RNA from Acipenser ruthenus (sterlet), 1229 nucleotides. RefSeq lists it as uncharacterized. The record is from RefSeq and is a predicted model, not a curated record. The transcript is spliced from 3 exons. Lineage: Eukaryota; Metazoa; Chordata; Actinopteri; Acipenseriformes; Acipenseridae.